GCUGAGGAGAGAACCCGGGCAAUUCCCCGUGCGAUCUCCCCUCAAAAACACGAAAAUAAUAGUUUUAUUAAGAUGAUGGGUGACCUGCCAUGCAAGCGCACCUGUCAUGGCAAAGGUCGGAUGACAAAGAUAAUAAACAAGACCUCUCAGCCUCCUGGCCUUUUAGUCCCGGUAUAUAUAUCUUAUACAUCAUCCUCGUAAAUAAACCACACAGCUCCACCCCCUAUCUCCUUCCAUCGCUCCUUAAUCAAUCAACAAAAUCACAGCCCACGGUCACAUCAUCAAGCAACAGAGAUUCUGUAAUUGCUCUAUCGCCCCCGCCUUCAAAUGAAAUCUCGAAUCAUCUGCUGCUCAUACACCAACUGGAUAUAUCCUUCGAGAAUUAGAGCUUUUGAAACAGAGCUCCGCCGUAUCUACAAAACAAGAUCAAAUUAAUAGCUUAAUCAAUAAUCCGGAAACAGAAUUUAAAUCAUCUUUAGCCAAGAAACACGCAAUAAAAAUACUGAUACAUACCUCAGGAGCGAUCUCCGAUCAAAUAAGAUAACAGACCGUGAAAUCACGGUGUUGAACUUCGAUUAUCAAGUCUAAUAUCAGGAUAAAGAUCGCAGAGCGAUCUAGGUGGACCUGGAAUCCAAAAGAUCGAAGGGAAAUCCAUGAAGGGUAGAUCUGGGAAUACUGGAGCUGAACUCAUAACUCAUAAGGCAGAAAAAGCUGUAAGGCGGGUGUGCGGCUAUAUAGAGGCUCUGGGAGAAUAGACGGACAGGAUUAGUAGGUUAGCUGAAUGAUUAAGGGCUGAGAUUUAGUUUACGUGGUUGAGCUCUUACCUUGUUUGAAAAUUAGGUGUCGCUGAAGAGAUGGACAGCACAUUUGAGCUGGCGAGAUACGGGGUUUGUUUAUUUUCGGAAAAUUGUUUAGUUUAUAUUUUUUUAAAAAUCUUCUUGGUUUUUUGAUAAGUUUAUAUAUGCUUUUAUUGGUCAUUUAAAUUUUCUUUAAACUCAUUACAUCAAUCAAUUUAUAUUGUGUUAGCUCUUAUAUAAUUUGGUUAAAAACUCACGCCAUGUAAGGAAACAAGUCAAGGAAUUUCAAGAUUUAGCUGCUUACUCAGGUUCAAUAGCAUUGUAAAAAAAAAAUCCCCACACUCUCAAUGUUUCUUUAUGUUUAAAAAAAAAUUGGUUCAGUCUAUGAAAAAGUGUGCACGCUGAUGAACUAGUUACUAUUUAGCUUGAAAGUAUACUUGCCCAUCUAGCUCAUAAACAUAUAUUUUAGUUUUUUCACGUAGUUAUAAGAUAUCUGUAUUAGAGUUUUAAAACUCGGACCGGCCCGGCGGGUCGACCCGGGCCUGGGACCGGUCCGGGUUGAGGCAAAAACCCGCUCGAGAAUUGGCCCGGGGAAACCCGGUCGACCCGGGACCGGGUCCACCCGGCCAAACCCGGGUGAAACCCGGUCAAUUUUUUUUUAUUUUCACUGUCAUUAAACGACGUCGUUUUUUGCCAUCUAAAAUGUCAAAACGCUGAAGACUGAAGAUAAAAGAAGAACGAAGCAAUAAACCUAAUUAAUGUUACUCUUUGUCUUUGAAACUCAGCUGAGGAGCAGAGGAGCAGCGAACGUCUGACCAUUGAUCCCUGCAAAAAAGGUUUGAAUCUCCUUCUUUCACUCUCUGUUUUCUUUAUUCUUGGCCGUUUUCUCAUUUCUGGCAUCAAUUUCAAUUUCAGCCCAGAACCUCAAUUUCUGCGAUAAUCCUUCUUUCACUCGCUGCCAGUCACCUCAGCCCUCAGGUAUGUUUCUCUAACCCGAUUUCUGCAUCAAUUUCUGUCUUUUCUUCUGCCGGUCACCUCUGUUUCUAUAGCCUGAUUUCAAAUAGAACUGUGUUGUUUGCAUUCAAAAGCAUUAUUAAAAGUCCAAUCAUCUUUCUUAAAUGUUUUGCUAACUUCGUUAAAAUCCUUCUCAAUGUGCAGGAAGAGGACUUCAUUUAAUGGAUGCGAUUGAGGAAGGGCAAAGCUUGCAUGAGCAGUCAGAUGAAUCAGACCAUGAUAAAGUGGAGAAGGAAAGCGAUAACAUUGACCAGAAGAAGAAGAAGAGAAUGCAAAGAGCAUCAAUAGCCCGAUUUCAAGUUUCUCUAGCCCAGUUACCUCAGCCCUCAGUUUUUUUUUUUUGACCCGGGUCAACCCAUCUGACCCGUGACCCGAUCACUUGACCGGGUCAAUAACUAGGUUAAUGACCGGGUCGGAUUUCAAAACUAUGAUUUGUAUUCAAUUGAUUGGAAUUGAAAAUCUCAAAGGCUAUGCAUCACUUUACAAGAUCCAACCAUGCGUUUCAAAAUUUUUAAAUUUUUUUAAAAAGCUUUUUUUAAUAUUUUUUUAAUUAUUUUUAUAUGCUGAUAUCAAAAAUAAAUAAUUAUUUUAAAAAUUAUUUUAAUGUAUUUUCAAGUGAAAAAUACUUUGAAAAAUAAUUUUUAUCACAUUCUAUAAUAGACUUUUAAUUUGUAUUUGGAAAUACGUAGUUAAAUGUAAUAGUUUUUGUUUUAUAGAAUCUAAAUAAAAAAACAAGGAAAAACAUGUAAAACUUGAUUUGAGUGAUAACGCUUUAUGUAUUAAAAAGGUAGUACAUUAAAAAAAAAUAAAGUUAAAAAUAAUAGUGUUUAUUUUCUUUUUAUCUCAACUCUUUAAUUUUAUAAAAUUUCAAUUGGUGUUUGAAAAUAUGGGGUAACUCGUGUUUUUUUUUGAAAAAAAAAAUUUGUUAAAACUUUUUUUAUAUAUUUUGGAUUGUCUUGAUAUGCUAAUCUCAAAAAUAAUUUUUAAAAAUAAAAAAUAUAUUAUUUUAAUACAUUUUAGAAUAAAAAAUAUUUUAAAAAACAACCACAACCAUACUCCUAACUCUAAUUUUAUAAAAUAUUUUUGAUCACUAUACUAUUUUCUAAAACAAUUCCAAAUAUGAAGCCUCACCUAUUCCUUUACCUGCUGCUUACCUGAACAACAACUACGACUACGUAUGUAACGUUCUUCAACGCAACGCGUUUUUUUCGUCACCUAUUUUACUUGAGUUCUGUUUGUUUUUUUCAUCAAAAAUUAUAAUUUAUUAUAAUUUACAUCCUACCGAUUCAUAAUAUUUUACAUCUUUAUAUAUACUCAUAAAAAAAAUUAUUUAUAUAAUUGUCAUUAUAUUUUAUAAUCUUUGCAACAAUGUUGGAUUUGAACACAAAAUCAGUGGCGGCCCAUUCUCCUCACACGUUGUUAUUGGAACCUAAAAACAACUUGAAAAAUAAUGGGUUUUCGGUCGUGUUGAUGUUCGAGGUGUUCAUGUCUCUUUUAGGGAUAAUUUUGGCUGGGUCCGUUGAUAAUAUAAUUAAUAUUACCAAUAAAAUUAUAAACGAUGAGUUGAAUAUUUAAUAAUUUUUUUAGUCAAAAUCUAUCAGUAAUUAACAUUAAAGUGUUUUUUAGCACCCUCCAAAAAUUUUCAAAUCCAUUUCAUUCCAAUGAUUUGAACUUUUAGCGGUAAAUUCUUAUAAUUUUUUUUAACUCUGUGAAACUCUUCAAUUGACUUAGCUUAUUGAUAAUUAUAUCGGUAGUGAUAAAGUCUUGUAAAUUUUUUUAACCCUCUAGAACUCUUUGAGAGAUUUAAUCUGACAGUAAUAUUAUGGCGUGCACGGCGUCGAAUAACAAGUCUGCUCUCCCACACUGCCUUAUAAUUGCAAUUCUAUAGUGUAACAUUAUAAUUGCCUUGUAAUGUUACACUAUCAAUUUAAAUGAAAUAAAAUUAAUAUUCUAUAAUUAAAAAAAUUAUUAAAGUGAUUGGUUUUGAUCUUUUAUGAAAAAAUAAUUGCAAUUCUUUAUCUUGAUGAAAGAAUUUGUCCUUUUUUCAAUUUUCUAUUAGAAAACUCAAAAAGAUAAAAGAAAAAUUGUUCAUUUGUUUACCAAGAGGACGUUUGUUUGCCCGGAUAGUGGUUUUCUAGAAAUCAUUUUCCAAAAUUUUCUAUGUUUGGUCAACGGAAAACACUUUUCAGUCAGAAAAAUUUGGCUUGAUUUUCAGGAAAAUGUUUUCAUUUUAUUUUGGGACGGAAAACACUUUUCAGAAGUUGUGAAAAAAUUAAAAAUAUCAUAUUGUUUGCUGAUUAUAUCAAAUUUGAUCCUCAAACUUUUAAUUGAUAUAUAUUUUGUUUGAAUCCUUUUUUUUUCAAUUUCAUCCCUUAAAAUUUGAUUUAAUUUUAUUUUUGUAUUAAUUUUGAUCCUCAUUUUUAUGAUUGUUAUUUGCUUUUCUCUUAUUAUUAUUUUAAUUGAAAUUUUUUAUCUAUCAAAUUUAGUCAUCAUUCUUUUGAUUGUUAUUUAUUUUAUUUGAAAUAAGUUAUGAACUUGUAAUUAUUAUUAUUAUUUUAAUUUCAUGAUUUUUCAAUUUUUUUAUUUGUUAGAUUUGAUCCCCAUUAUUUUGAUUAUUAUUUAUUUUAUUUGAGAUAAUUUAUUAAAUUAGAUUUUUUUUAAUUUUAUUCUCAUUCAACUUUUUAAUUUGUAAGAUUUGUUCUUAUUAUUUUAAUAAACUUGAAGAAAAAAUAAAGCAUUAAUAAACUAUCUUCCAGCUUAUUUUUCAUAACAUAACCAAAUACUGGAAAGUAUUUUCCAUGACCCUACCAAACAUCAAGAAAUAAUUUACUUUUCAAUUUCUAUAUAACGAUUUUCAAAAAGUUCAAAUUUUAACCCUGACCCCAACAGUAUUUCAUAAAAAUUAAGUUUUUGUUUUUUUGACUUAAAGUUAAUUUUAAAAAAUUAAAAAAAUAUUAUUUUAAUAUAUUUAAAAAAACACAAUUUAAAAAAUAACUAAAACAGCGCUACCAUAACAACCGCUACCUGAAUCUUCAAUGUAAUCAAAGCACGUACGAUGAAUGAGUACCGUUAAUUCGUUUAUCAUCCUUAUGUUGAAAGCAAUCAAGGGAAUAUUUACACGAACCGCAAAACAAAUGUCUAUUUUUUUUGCUUUUUUAUGUAGAAUGAUAUAUUCAAGCAUUUUAACAGGAAUAUUUACUUGCACAAAAGCUAUAAAACAAAUCUGGCAGAAAGAAUUGAUAAUGCCCUUUAAAGGGUUCUUUAAAACUAUUACAUUUCAUUUAUUAUCAAAUUGAAUUUUAAAAAAAUAAGUAAAAAAUAUCCCUAUCAAUUAAGUAAAUUAAAUAAUUCUAUAACUACAACCUGAAAAAGUAUAACUCAAAUGGUCAUACUUUAAAUUUUUAAAAAUCACCACUUUAAAUACCAUUUAUCUCAGGGCAAUAUAAAACUUAUAUGAUCAUUAACUUCAGGGCCCGUAAAAUUAAUCGAAGUGCAUAAAAACAUCUAUCUUAAAGUAAAUUCUAAGACAAAAAGAUAAAAUGAACAAAAAAAAAACCACAGAAAAGAACGAACCACAUGAACUAAUAAGACCUGGGUGGAUUUGAACCACCAACUUCUCAAAACACCAUCAUAAUGGGACUUUGAGCGCUCUUACCAUUUUGAGCUUACAGAUCUUUUCAACAUUGAAGAGUGGCCUUCCAAAAAACAGCGAGUUGCGUUCCUUCUAUUUUCCUUUCGUCAUUUUUCAAUUUAAUCCACAAAUCCACCGCUACCUCGUUACCAAAUAAUUAUAUAUUAAAAUAAAAUAAUAAUAAUGAUUUAAUAAGGUCAGCAUAUUAAUUAUUAUUAGAUAUAGAAAAAUAUUAAAAUAAUAUUUUUUAUUUUUUAAAUUUUAUUUUCAAUACACACGAAAACAAUAAAAAGACAAAAAAUAAUUUAAAUUAAAAAAUCUUACAAAUUCUCAAAAGUGCUCUUUGACGUAAAAACCCAAUGGAAUGUAGAGAUAGUUUUUCCAGGACUGUAGUAGUAAAGAGAUCUUUGAUUUCAAGAUGAAACAUGACCACAACAAUUAUUAAUGGCAUUUUUAUAUGGCGCUUGGAUAAAAAGAAACAUCAGGUAAAAGAUGACAAUCACCCACCCCCUUGCUUUUGACAAAAUGUUUAAAGAAAUGAUCUAUAUGCCAUUGAAACCCUAACCAUUAACCAUGAUUUAAUGGUUGAAGUUACAAGCACAUUCAACACCUAGAACACAGCUCGUCGUCAACCCACCUGGGAUGGACCAUAAAAUGACUGGAACCAACAUCUUGUGCAUAUAUAAGAUAAAAGUGAAUUUACACAAAUGAUUUCUCCAACUCCUGUUAGAAAAUCGUGGUUUAAGAAACGCAAUUCUUGACUGCCAAAUUCAAGACUAUCAGGAUCGAUUGCAAACCUGACAAACAAGGAGAGAAAGAAGAUAACGAUAAAGCUUCGGACAUAAUACAUAAUUCCAGGAAAUGCUUCAAAAAGAAAGACCGCUUUCUUCUUCAAAUCGAUCAAAGGAAAGAUAACUCCACAUAUUUUCAACAAAACAGCUACGUCUAGAGAGCAAACACAUACAAGUAAAGCAAGAAAACACCGUCAGAUAAAACAUCUCGAACUAAUGUCAAAGCUUGAGAAAACAAGGCAUUUCCAGCUUCCAAAAACUAGCAUUAUGACGACUAGAACGAGGUCUGUAUCUAAUAUAUUAAUGUCCAACUGCAAAUUGCAUUAAGACAACCUCAAACUAAAUUAAUCAAAAAGUAGCAACGCAAAUCUUGAACCAUUGAGAAAAACUUGAUCACCUCAAUAGCUGAUUUAGCGUGAUGCAGCUUCAUAAAGAAUGUUGUGAAGGGUCCUGCGCUCUCUCUUUUUCACUAAAAGCCAUGGUCAUUGAAGUCAAGCAGCCCAACAAUCAUCCAAUGGGGUCUACAGAUCCCAUCUUCAACACCACAAUCUUCAGGCUACAUCACUUGAGAUCCAAUGAACCAAACAACAGGAGCCAGUUGCAAAUAACAAUACAGAGUAGAAACACUUGAAAACAGCUCCAGGGUAGGGAUAUCACAGGGCACAAUAUUCUAAUUUACAUACUUGAAAACCAGAUCUUAAUUGUAAAUAGCGAAAGCAAAGCUGUUUAUACAAUAGUUUUGCACAGGAUAACAGGAAAAGGAAACCGAUUAACUAGAUCCAAAUAACAAACCUCAUGCCCAUGGUUGGUUUGUAAGAAUCACAGAUAUGCUUAGGUUGCGUUUGCAGUGGUCGCGUUGUUAAUGAAAUAAACUUGAUUGUUACCACGCAAUAACGGGUUGUUGUAGGGAGCAAGUGCUUUCGUGUAUUACAGACUAAAAAAUGAACCCUGAUAAAUCAAACCUAAGAUUCAGUACCUCUUAGUUUUGGUGCUAUAUAGUAACUGCCAAUCUUGCGUUGAAACCAGUUUUGGUUGCAUUAUCUUGAUAGCCCACUGUAUCAAAGAUUUAUAUUUGACGGGGCCAAAUAUCCGAUAAGAGAUGAAAAACAGGUUGCAAUGAUAAUAAUAAAAAAAACAAUAUGAUUCUUUUUUUUUUAUGUUUGUUCUAAGUCUUGGAAAUAUGACUGGCUGUUUCUAAAAAUAAGAAAUUCGUAUUGGAGUUAUAAAAGAGAGAAUACCUUGGAGUCAGCUUCACAAAUUGCAACAUUGUGCAGAAGAUGUGAAUUGAUUGCUAAGCUGGAGUUGGAGUGCCUCGUGAAAGGGCAGCGCGAUCUCAGGCAAGGAUCGUAAGUCAACGAGAAGUAAGAGAAAGCGGGACACGGACAGCAGAGGGGAGAACCCGGGCAAUUCACCGUGCGAUCUCCCCUCAAAAACACGAAAAUAAUAGUUUUAUUAAGAUGAUGGGUGACCUGCCAUGCAAGCGCACCUGUCAUGGCAAAGGUCGGAUGACAGAUAAUAAACAAGACCUCUCAGCCUCCUGGCCUUUUGGUCCCGAUAUAUGUAUCUUAUACAUCAUCCUCAUAAACAAAACACACAGCCCCACCCCUUAUCUCCUUCCAUCA
RNAcentral lists this long non-coding RNA (7855 nucleotides) under Populus trichocarpa (black cottonwood). RNAcentral's name for it is "long non-coding RNA (PTRI_LNC001487)". The record is from RNAcentral. Lineage: Eukaryota; Viridiplantae; Streptophyta; Magnoliopsida; Malpighiales; Salicaceae.